Molecule: ribosomal RNA, 497 nt
Filed under: uncultured bacterium
Lineage: Bacteria
Description: partial 16S ribosomal RNA
Rfam family: Bacterial small subunit ribosomal RNA
Source: RNAcentral
GAUGAACGCUGGCGGCGUGCCUAAUACAUGCAAGUCGAGCGAACAGACGAGGAGCUUGCUCCUCUGACGUUAGCGGCGGACGGGUGAGUAACACGUGGAUAACCUACCUAUAAGACUGGGAUAACUUCGGGAAACCGGAGCUAAUACCGGAUAAUAUAUUGAACCGCAUGGUUCAAUGGUGAAAGACGGUUUUGCUGUCACUUAUAGAUGGAUCCGCGCCGCAUUAGCUAGUUGGUAAGGUAACGGCUUACCAAGGCGACGAUGCGUAGCCGACCUGAGAGAGUGAUCGGCCACACUGGAACUGAGACACGGUCCAGACGCCUACGGGACGCAGCAGUAGGGAAUCUUCCGCAAUGGGCGAAAGCCUGACGGAGCAGCGCCGCGUGAGUGAUGAAGGUCUUCGGAUCGUAAAACUCGGUUAUUAGGGAAGAACAAAUGUGUAAGUAACUAUGCACGUCUUGACGGUACCUAAUCAGAAAGCCACGGCUAACUACGUG